RNAcentral lists this long non-coding RNA (204 nucleotides) under Musa acuminata (dwarf banana). RNAcentral describes it as "long non-coding RNA (MACU_LNC007348)". The record is from RNAcentral. Lineage: Eukaryota; Viridiplantae; Streptophyta; Magnoliopsida; Zingiberales; Musaceae.
ACUUAGAACUUCAGAAGACCACUUGAGAGAAAACUCAAGUGAUGAAGACUGUGACGAUGACUUGGCACUUCUAACAAGAAAAUUUAAAAAAUUCAUUAAAAGAAACAAGUUUAAGAAUGACACAAAAAAUAAACUUGAACCCAAGAAGGACCAAGUUAUUUGCUAUGAGUGCAAAAUGCCGGGACACUACAAGAGUGAUUGUCC